AUUGAACGCUGGCGGCAUGCUUUACACAUGCAAGUCGAACGGUAACAGGCCGCAAGGUGCUGACGAGUGGCGAACGGGUGAGUAAUGCAUCGGAACGUGCCCAGUCGUGGGGGAUAACUACUCGAAAGAGUAGCUAAUACCGCAUACGAUCUAUGGAUGAAAGCGGGGGACCGUAAGGCCUCGCGCGAUUGGAGCGGCCGAUGUCAGAUUAGGUAGUUGGUGGGGUAAAGGCUCACCAAGCCAACGAUCUGUAGCUGGUCUGAGAGGACGACCAGCCACACUGGGAGUGAGAAACGGCCCAGACUCCUACGGGAGGCAGCAGUGGGGAAUUUGGGAAAAGGGGGGCAAGCCUGAUCAAGCAAUGCCGGGUGCAGGAAGAAGGCCUUCGGGUUGUAAACUGCUUUUGUAGGGAACGAAACGGCUCUGGUUAAUACCCGGGGCUAAUGACGGUACCGUAAGAAUAAGCACCGGCAAAUUACGU
RNAcentral lists this ribosomal RNA (481 nucleotides) under uncultured bacterium. RNAcentral describes it as "partial 16S ribosomal RNA". It matches the Rfam family "Bacterial small subunit ribosomal RNA", at positions 29 to 506 of the family's 1533-position model. The record is from RNAcentral.